GAUCCCUCAACCCCUUCCCAUUCCUUCCCGGUCUUGUCUCAGCACACACGGGGGAGGCGCCGCGGGACAAACAAGGCUCUUGCAGGUUGCAGCGCGUGACGGUGAUGGGAGCGGCAAGAAAAGGAAGAGCAGCGGCGGCGCAUCUCUGUCUCGUGGGGCCAGCCCUCCCGUCCGCGCGUGCGACAACGCCGAUAUGGAGUCCCAGGCUCGGAUAGCCACCACGACGUUGGGUGCCCCGGCGGGGGCUAUUGGGACCAUGCGGCGUCCGGCCAUGAUUCCGGCGACGGCAAGCCGUAUAUAUGAGCCAUCGUCUCCACUUCCUUUCCUUCAUGUUUUAAUCUGCACCUCUACCCCACUCCCCACUGCCUACCUCCCUCUCUCACGUAAGCUCGAGCUCGGGGCAGUGAAAUCCCUCUCAGGUGGCAGAAGCUGACUGUCUUGACAUCUUCAGAGAUUCUAUGUGUCCAGUUGUGGUUGUGCACACCAAUCGUUUGAUGAAUUGCUAAAAGAAAUUGUACGUUUUUUUAUGUAUGUUGGAAUCAGGUAAAAUGUGAUUUUAGCCGUCUGUUGAUUGCUUUCGGCGUCUUGCUGAAUUCUGCGCAUUGCAGGGAGCAGGAACCGACGUCGUCGUCUGGGAGGCAGCCAAGGAUGGAGGUCACUCUUAGUUCAUCUUCCUCUUUGCUCCGUCUCCUGAUGGCUGCCAUGGAGGUUGCUAUUAAGUGAGCAGGUAGUUUGUCAUUGUUCGUGAAUCAUCUGUUUAGUCUUUCUCUUCACUUAAUCGAUGUUCAGCUUUAUAAUAAGUAAACUAUGGUAUGGUGAGUACCUCUCAAUACUCGAUGGCUUCCCUUAUUUAGACUAUUGAUUUAUUUUCGAAUAAUAGGCCCCUGUUCCAGUUCAAAAGGGAAUCAUGUAGCAGCAGCAAUUAAUAUGCUUUUCAGUUUUAUUAUAAGUAAAUUUCAAAAUAAAUGUGUCAUAACAUAAGUAUUGAGUCUAUGAUUGUAUAUAUGUAUCGAACCUUGAUGAACUGGUUUGGUUGAUAUUAUUUUAAAUUUAGUUUCAGAUACUACCGAAUUUCUGAUUUUCGGUUACAUAUAAUUAUGAUAUAUGUUGCAUCAUCUUUGUGUUCAGACUUCAGAUAUGUCAGCAAGCCACUUUCGAGCCUUGCUCAUUUACAUCAGUAUUUGUUUUCACAUUAGUGCACCAUGGUCUUUUUGUCUUUCAUUUCUACCUAAAGAGCAACAAUCAGGUGACUUCCCUUUCCUCCUUUUCUCUUGUUUUAAAACUCUUAAUGUUCAAACCAUUGCAACUUCGUAAUCAUCCAAUCUUUCACCUUUGCAGACUUUCUAUGAGAACUUCAGGUAUCGGUGCGACAAACGGGCUAACCCAUAUAACAUGAUUGCUUGGAGCUGACAUAGAGGGUGGCGAGAUGCAGAGGAGCCCUAGGUACAGGUGAAGGGAGACGCUGGGUGGCAGGUCGAGCAACUAUGGUUGGGGUGGCUGUGUGAAGAAGAGAGAGGUAGGAAAGGAAGUGUUGGGCUAGCUGAUGCUACCGGGAUGAAUCAGGGAGAUUAGAGGAGAGAAGUUGAGAGAGAUUUCGGCGAUGUUUAGGAGAAGAGGAUUUCUCUAGCUAUGCCAACCCAAGAUGUGUGAUGCUCAAGAAGGUAUGUGAUGCUAACGCAUAUACAAAGAACGAGGUGUGUUGUUAAUUUGGUGGACAGUGCCCUUCUUAAAAUAAAUAUGUGGUGCCGUAGACAACUGAAGAAUUAUCACUUAUAGUUCCGUUAGGUUUGUUACCUCCGUUGUUCGGAUACUUAAAUGUUUCACUGAGGAUUUUUUAAUCCAUCCGGCCAUCAGCUUAUACCUGGAUGUACCUUCAUGUUCUACAAAUCUAUUAAUUUAUCAUAGGACAAGCAGACGAUGGAAGUAGUAUAGUUUCUUGAAUUAUUACCAUGGUCCGCCAAAUUUUUUAAUUACUGAAUCAGCAUAAGUUUUAUGUUUCUCUGUUGUAAUUCUUCUGUAGGCUGUUUUCUGUGUCUCUGCAAGUGCCUUUUUGCUCAGAUGCUUUUUUUACAGUGCAUCAAGUGGAGUUUAGUUCAUUCACCUCUCCACAUCUCCUCAUUUUCAUGAUUGUUCAGAUUGCUAACCGACGGACUAGAAGCAUGCCCACCUUUCUGUUCCUUUUAGUUCCAAAUAAUCUUUUUUUUCCGAAUGAAUGCAUGCUUAUAGUAUUGAAAUAUAUUUUUUCUAUACUUGGUAGAUCAUAAACCGCCAAAUCACGCUGCUACUGGUGUGUUUACUGCUCCAUAAUUGAGUCAGUUUUGUGUGCAUUAUCUGAACAAUGUCAACGCUGCCUUCCUUCUGACAUACUAUUUCGGCUGUUGAUUGAUGUUGCGGCUGCUGCGGCUGGUGGUGCUCUGGGCACGCAAGGGGAGCGCGGCACACAAACUCCGCCUGCUCAAGACGUUGCGCCACAACCAUGCCGGCCUCGGUGUCAGGCGCAACGAUUGGUUUGCACUAUGGCGAACUAGAAUUCCCCAGCGCACACUUGCUCCAGUUUAUCCUCUACGGCAAUGGUCGCUACUUCUGCGAUGCCCGUGAGAGGGAUGUGGACUGCAUCGAGGACUACUACGAUGGCGAGCAAAACGAGCACGGCCUGGAGAACCUCGAUGAUGGGCAGAUGAGCAGUUGCUCUAUAGUGGCAGGUCCUCGUGGCUGCAGUACAAUGACAUGAGAUGUGCUAGAUACAGUGCUAAGAUUGCAUGUUUAUUUGGGCAGAAAUCACAUAUUUGACCUGA
Long non-coding RNA from Triticum dicoccoides, 2795 nucleotides. RefSeq lists it as uncharacterized. The record is from RefSeq and is a predicted model, not a curated record. The transcript is spliced from 3 exons. Lineage: Eukaryota; Viridiplantae; Streptophyta; Magnoliopsida; Poales; Poaceae.